Molecule: long non-coding RNA, 444 nt
Filed under: Pan troglodytes (chimpanzee)
Lineage: Eukaryota; Metazoa; Chordata; Mammalia; Primates; Hominidae
Description: lincRNA
Source: RNAcentral
AGAGCUACGGUGACACUUCGCGCGCGGCGUAGGCGCACCUUCGCUCUGUCGGCCGUGGUUUAGUAAGCACACACCUGCCUGCUACUCUGGUUAUCGUGGCGACGGCAGGUCUGGAUUGCCAGACAGGUUUUUCUUUUUACCUCGAGGCUUUCUCUGAAGGGAGUCGGAGCAUUUAAAAGGCGGCCUCAAGGUGGAUUGAGUCGGGGGAGGAUUAGCAGUAUUUGCUUAGGUUGUAAAACCGCGACUUUAUCUAAUAAAUCGCCAUUCAAGGUGCAAAUACAAACUUGGAACAGAGAUUGCAUUUGGGUUUAAACAGAGGACUUAAUCAUAGCGUGGACAGAAAAAGCUCACCAUCUAUCUAAAUGACUCUGAUUGCACCAUCAUCCUCAUUGUUCUCGUGGAGUCUUGCUCUGUCGCCCAGGCUGGAGUGGAGUGACGCGAUCU